Molecule: long non-coding RNA, 261 nt
Filed under: Lathyrus oleraceus (garden pea)
Lineage: Eukaryota; Viridiplantae; Streptophyta; Magnoliopsida; Fabales; Fabaceae
Description: Pisum sativum (pea) long non-coding RNA (PSAT_LNC033207)
Source: RNAcentral
GAAUUUUCAGUUAACUUCUUUAUGAUUGAUGUUUGACUUAGGGAUUGCUUAUGGCAAUUGAAGAGAUCUUUUGAUCCUCCCUUGUUCAUCUCAUAUGCCAUGUAUUAGAGGCCUUUUACCUUGAUUUUAUUUGGUCCUUAAAUUGAAGAGAUCUUUUGAUCCUCCCUUGUUCAUCUCAUAUGCCAUGUAUUAGAGGCCUUUUACCUUGAUUUUAUUUGGUCCUUACCUCAUUUCCUGAUUAAAUUAUUCAGUGGACCCUUU